UACGUAGGGGGCUAGCGUUAUCCGGAAUUACUGGGCGUAAAGGGUGCGUAGGUGGUUUCUUAAGUCAGAGGUGAAAGGCUACGGCUCAACCGUAGUAAGCCUUUGAAACUGGGAAACUUGAGUGCAGGAGAGGAGAGUGGAAUUCCUAGUGUAGCGGUGAAAUGCGUAGAUAUUAGGAGGAACACCAGCUGCGAAGGCGGCUCUCUGGACUGUAACUGACACUGAGGCACGAAAGCGUGGGGAGCAAACAGGAUUAGAUACCCUGGUAGUCCCUGA
RNAcentral lists this ribosomal RNA (276 nucleotides) under uncultured prokaryote. RNAcentral's name for it is "partial 16S ribosomal RNA". It matches the Rfam family "Bacterial small subunit ribosomal RNA", at positions 524 to 800 of the family's 1533-position model. The record is from RNAcentral.